This is a long non-coding RNA of Colletes gigas, 2406 nucleotides long. RefSeq lists it as uncharacterized. The transcript has 3 exons. NCBI's taxonomy places the organism in Eukaryota, Metazoa, Arthropoda, Insecta, Hymenoptera, Colletidae. The record is from RefSeq and is a predicted model, not a curated record.
GGGUUCACCUCCCACCUGGACAAUCAAACGGGUGCGUGGGCUUUUAAGCGGCCAACACACGUACUUAGAGAAAUAGUGGAGAUUUACCCACGAGUUUGAUCGAUCUUCUUUAUCACUGAUUUCUCUCGUGGCAAUGACAGUCGAUCAAAACUAUGGACAAACAGCCAAUACAUCUCGACCGUGUAUGGUCCAUAUUAAGCAUUUCAUACGAUCAGUAUCGUACGAAGCUGUGGAGCAUUUAUUGUAAAUGAUAGCCACUGCAAACAGAGCAGGCUGUACAAUUCUUUUUUACCAUUUUGCAACGAGAAGAUGAUAGAAAAUAAACGGUUUAACAUUCCAGAGCCGUGUCCCGGAGCAAAACAAAAAGUUUGUCAUCUUCGAUUGUUCAUAACCUCAAUUUCUACUAUCGAUAGAUCGAAGCGACAAUUUACCAUCGGAACAUUCGAGCUCGAGAUUAACGAGUAUUCACGUGUCACUCUAGAUAGCGCCACGCUGGUCGCACCUCUCGCGUGCCUCGAAUCGCAUCCCACCACUUCCAUAGUUGGUGAUCUUCGUAGCAUAAUGCCUGUGCGGCGUGUGCGCGGUUCGGCGAUAGAACAGCAGGGCCAUAGCAAAAGUGUUAGUACGCGUAUUAUCGUAGCAGAACGGUGGCGAUGACUCUCUCAUCGCCGAUGGUUUUACUUUUCGGCAUAGAAGCACGAUCCACACUAGACGCUGUCUAGCCGCGACGUUGGUCAUGGAUUACGAAAUCGUUUCGAAAGGAUUUUAACUGAUUUUAAAGAUAACCCAGGGCGCCUUAGGGAUUUUCGGUGUGAAUGGAAAGGUCUGCGCGCGCGUUUUCGUGUCUAUAAUUAGGUAGUCUGAUUUUAGCGGACCAUCUUGUAUAUAUUUAUUUCAUGUACAAAAUACUUUUGAUUUUUCGUUGCAAAACACGAUGUACUAUAAAGUGUUAGUACAAGUUACUAAAAAUGAAUUACGAAAAUAAUUGAAAAAGGAAACAGGAAAAUGAAAGUUAGUAAUAUAAUUCAACAAUAAAUAAAUUACUUUUUGUGAAAAUGUUCAUGCAAUAAUGUAUAAAGAAGAAAUUAUAUAAUCUUGUUAUGUAACUGUAUUGUAUUAUAAGAAAAGAAAAAUAAGAUUGCAUUUCCUUUUGGGGGCAAUAUUUAAUUCCGUGAAACGUGUAGUUUAAUGGAAAUAGUAAUGUGCAUCCAUAUGGCGAUAGCGUGCAAGAUUACCGUGUUUUACAUGUUCUACUUUCUAAAUGCGUUUGUUUUCUACAAAAAAAGCCAUCUAGAAUCUGUUUGAAACAUUCAAUCGAGUAUAAUACAGAAUUCUACGUAUUAAUUAGAAUUUAUCGUGUCUAUGGGAGUAAGACGAUUCGUAAUUUAAUUAAAGGCGAACUAAUUGUUAUUUAAUAAGCAUGCAUAAACGUGCUGAUACAUGUUUUAUUGAUUCACUCUCUCGGGAAAUCAGCUAAUAUCGUAGUUAUUACACUAUUAAUAGGAUAGAUAAGAUUGUGUUAUGAAAUUAGUGAGAUAAAACUCAAUAGUACGAUUAUUAGUAUUUUGCAUACUCGAGAGGAUAUUAUAGACAAGGAUUUGGAAAAAAUCGAUUUUCUUUUUAAGAUUUUUAAAACGUGUCGUUGGAAGAUUUCUUUUAAGUUCAUGCUACGUAAAUUGGAAAUGGCAACAAUGAUAUUUUUAAAACUAGAAAUAGAAAGUUGAAAGUACCACUAUAUGGUGGAGACAUUACGAAAUAGAAGUAAUGCUCUUUUCACAAUCGCUUAAUAUCCAUGCUGGUUUUUAUUUAUUAACAACGAUACAUAGUUUCAAAUCGACAUCUAAAGUAGUUUUCAUUUUACAAAAUCCCCAAUAUGCCCUAGUUUUUCCACAGUAAGGUUAGAAUGUUCUCUUGACUUUUCAAAUUAAAAAUUUCAACCAACGAUUCAACGUUGCAAGCUGUUUGUAUGCGUUCGCGAUAAAAUGAACAAAGGUCCCUUAAAAACAAUCGACUUCGUUCGGGAGUUUGUUUGGCAGAGUGGAAAACUGGAGCAGGCCGGCGGCUGUGAAAAUUCAGAAGUGGGAGGGAAACAAGAAAAAUACAUAAAAGCACAAAGGGGUGAAUGACAAACGGAAGAUGAUUCGUGUCGUCGAAAAUAAGCGUGUCAGGGGCGAGGAUGCAUAGGUGGGGAAGUGAGAAAGUUCACUACGUGGGGUUCCGUGAACCCGCGUGUAAAUAUGGGUUCGUAUCGGCCGGCAGUGACAGCCGAAAGUGGAGGUCCUUUAGGAAGUCAUGGGGAAUCUCGUCCACAAGGUAAUUUCGCGUUAGACCACUUUGAAUUAAAGCCGGGAUUAUUCAAAUUUACGGAACAUUAUUCAAUAUCUCUGAGAAUUAAUAUAAACCACG